AACGUAGGAGACAAACGUUAUCCGGAGUUACUGGGCGUAAAGGGCGUGUAGGUGGUUUCGUAAGUCUGGCGUGAAAUUUUUCGGCUUAACCGGGAAAGGUCGUCGGAUACUGCAGAACUAGAGGACGGUAGAGGCGUGUGGAAUUCCGGGUGUAGUGGUGAGAUGCGUAGAGAUCCGGAGGAACACCAGUGGCGAAGGCGACACGCUGGGCCGUACCUGACACUGAUGCGCGACAGCAUGGGGAGCAAACAGG
Molecule: ribosomal RNA, 253 nt
Filed under: uncultured bacterium
Lineage: Bacteria
Description: partial 16S ribosomal RNA
Rfam family: Bacterial small subunit ribosomal RNA
Source: RNAcentral